RNAcentral lists this ribosomal RNA (468 nucleotides) under uncultured bacterium. RNAcentral's name for it is "partial 16S ribosomal RNA". It matches the Rfam family "Bacterial small subunit ribosomal RNA", at positions 28 to 507 of the family's 1533-position model. The record is from RNAcentral.
GACGAACGCUGGCGGCGUGCUUAACACAUGCAAGUCGAACGGAAAGGCCCUGCUUUUGUGGGGUGCUCGAGUGGCGAACGGGUGAGUAACACGUGAGUAACCUGCCCUUGACUUUGGGAUAACUUCAGGAAACUGGGGCUAAUACCGGAUAGGAGCUCCUGCUGCAUGGUGGGGGUUGGAAAGUUUCGGCGGUUGGGGAUGGACUCGCGGCUUAUCAGCUUGUUGGUGGGGUAGUGGCUUACCAAGGCUUUGACGGGUAGCCGGCCUGAGAGGGUGAACGGCCACAUGGGGACUGAGAGACGGCCCAGUCUCCUACGGGAGGCAGCAGGGGGGAAUAUUGCACAAUGGGCGGAAGCCUGAUGCAGCAACGCCGCGUGCGGGAUGACGGCCUUCGGGUUGUAAACCGCUUUCGCCGGUGACGAAGCGUGAGUGACGGUAAUGGGUAAAGAAGCACCGGCUAACUACGUG